This 847-nucleotide ribosomal RNA is filed under the name Staphylococcus sp. MDMC364. RNAcentral's name for it is "bacterial SSU rRNA". It matches the Rfam family "Bacterial small subunit ribosomal RNA", at positions 62 to 890 of the family's 1533-position model. The record is from RNAcentral. Lineage: Bacteria; Bacillati; Bacillota; Bacilli; Caryophanales; Staphylococcaceae.
UCGAGCGAACAGAUAAGGAGCUUGCUCCUUUGACGUUAGCGGCGGACGGGUGAGUAACACGUGGAUAACCUACCUAUAAGACUGGGAUAACUUCGGGAAACCGGAGCUAAUACCGGAUAACAUAUUGAACCGCAUGGUUCAAUAGUGAAAGGCGGCUUUGCUGUCACUUAUAGAUGGAUCCGCGCCGUAUUAGCUAGUUGGUAAGGUAACGGCUUACCAAGGCAACGAUACGUAGCCGACCUGAGAGGGUGAUCGGCCACACUGGAACUGAGACACGGUCCAGACUCCUACGGGAGGCAGCAGUAGGGAAUCUUCCGCAAUGGGCGAAAGCCUGACGGAGCAACGCCGCGUGAGUGAUGAAGGUCUUCGGAUCGUAAAACUCUGUUAUCAGGGAAGAACAAAUGUGUAAGUAACUGUGCACAUCUUGACGGUACCUGAUCAGAAAGCCACGGCUAACUACGUGCCAGCAGCCGCGGUAAUACGUAGGUGGCAAGCGUUAUCCGGAAUUAUUGGGCGUAAAGCGCGCGUAGGCGGUUUUUUAAGUCUGAUGUGAAAGCCCACGGCUCAACCGUGGAGGGUCAUUGGAAACUGGAAAACUUGAGUGCAGAAGAGGAAAGUGGAAUUCCAUGUGUAGCGGUGAAAUGCGCAGAGAUAUGGAGGAACACCAGUGGCGAAGGCGACUUUCUGGUCUGUAACUGACGCUGAUGUGCGAAAGCGUGGGGAUCAAACAGGAUUAGAUACCCUGGUAGUCCACGCCGUAAACGAUGAGUGCUAAGUGUUAGGGGGUUUCCGCCCCUUAGUGCUGCAGCUAACGCAUUAAGCACUCCGCCUGGGGAGUACGACCGCA